AAACAAAAAGCAACCUCAAUUUUAUCUCCCAAAGCAAAAUUUGACACACUGAUCUUUAUACAAGAUAGGGAUAUUUAUGCAGAUGUUUAUUACUCUGCUGUCUCUAGAACACUAGGAAACAUUAAGAGUAAAAAUGUAGUUAAUGCCUAUUUUGAUAAGCAUCUAUGUCUUCUGGUUUGAUCUUCAGAACUCUUUACACACACACAAACACACACACACACACACGCGCACACACUUUCAGCAGAUUCCUGCCUUUGGCCAGCUCUAAUUGUUAUCUGUUAUAUGCAUAGGUCCAAGUCCUACUGAUUUCUAAAGAAUUUAUGCUGGAAUGAGUGACAUAUGCUUCUAGUCUUCUCUGUGGAAGUAGAGGACAGAAAAGGAAGGGUGUAAGCAUGACCAAAAGUUCUAGCUCUGUGGUCUGCCAAAUUCAGACAAGCCUGUGACAGUCACAACUGAGCAAUGUCACCAAACCUGCAUGUGGCCACCCUCCUUGGGGCUGAUGCACUGCAUGGGGUAAGUAAUCAUUUGGUAUGGGCAGCACUCGAACCCUUUUUCACCUGUAUGAUUAUUGUUCUGUUGAAUUCACCUCCCAUCUCCCAUGGCCAAGAUGAGUCAUAGGACAACUGAAAUUCUAUUUUGUUGGCUAUACUAUGGUGUUUCUUUUCUAUCUUCAUGAAACUGGUCCUCUUGAUAUAAAUAAUAAUGAAUUAGAGCAAAAAUGUGAUACUGUCUUUAAUCAUGGAAUGUAAUACUGUCUUUAAUCAUGCUGAAUCUUAAUCCCCACCAGGUUAUUAGCUAUUUGUCAACCCCAUCUCUUUUAUUCUCUUCAGUUGAAGCAUUUCUACUUUAGACAAAGCAGGUUAUAGGGGAAUGGUGAUCCAUUGGAUCUUCAGGAUCUUAGUGCUAUUGUUUUUCCAUUUAUAACUGGUGUGUAGUACGUCAGGAAUAAAUAAACCUCAAAGUGCAAUGUAGAAAAAAAGCAAGAAAGUGCACUUGUUUUUAAAUGGGAAACAAGACAUAAGUCAUUAUUUUCCUAAACAGAUUUAAGAAAAGAAAUCACUGCAUUUGAAAACAGCUCUUGUUAGAGAUGCUCUAACAGCGUUGAUUGAACAGAUAUUUGUUUGAUUGGAAGGUUAAUUAAAGAUGAUCUUUGGCACUGUGAACCACUCACCCUCAUUUUCUAAUAAUUGCCUGAUUCUGUAUAUACAGUAUCUACACCAAGCCUAACAUCCAGUCAUAUUUCACCACAGUAAGGGGUAGGGGGGGAAGCAGGGGAAGGGAAUUAAACAGCCUGAUUACUUUGGACAGUAUCACUUUUUUGCAUGCUUGUGUUUCAUCAGUUUAAAGAAAUAAAAUGGAAUAUUAAUUUUGCUUUCAUUAAAAAAUGAUACUGUCAUUUAUCUCAAAUAUGAGGCAACAAUGUGUGUCAACAAAUGGACAAAACAAAAAAUGGAGGGAUGAGUAUUCAUACAAGCAAAGUAGCAAUAGCAGAAUCACUAGGGAUGUCAAAGGAAAGUGAAUGCUUAGAUGAACUGUUUUAAAAUGUACUACUUGUUAAUUUAUACAUUAAAAUGUAUUUAACUGGA
Dromaius novaehollandiae (emu) is the source of this 1586-nucleotide long non-coding RNA. RefSeq lists it as uncharacterized. The transcript has 2 exons. NCBI's taxonomy places the organism in Eukaryota, Metazoa, Chordata, Aves, Casuariiformes, Dromaiidae. The record is from RefSeq and is a predicted model, not a curated record.